RNAcentral lists this long non-coding RNA (846 nucleotides) under Homo sapiens (human). Its description in RNAcentral is "growth arrest specific 5, transcript variant 49 (GAS5)". Lineage: Eukaryota; Metazoa; Chordata; Mammalia; Primates; Hominidae. The record is from RNAcentral.
AGAUGUGUUUAUUUUGGAGCCUACACCAGCGCCUUUUUUGUUUGCUCUUUCCGGCAAUUCCCCAGUGAGGAAGCCCCUGGAGGAAAGUCUUUCGCUACCGUCGGCACUGGAGGGGAAGCCUGGGGAGAGGGGAACUGGCUAAAGGGCAAAAUGUCACUGAGGAACUUCGGAGAAGAUGGGGACAAGGCGUCGGGCGGGGGAGCCAGCGCUCAGGAGCCCAGGCACCAUACUGUCUUUUCGAGGUAUGGUGCUGGGUGCAGAUGCAGUGUGGCUCUGGAUAGCACCUUAUGGACAGUUGUGUCCCCAAGGAAGGAUGAGAAUAGCUACUGAAGUCCUAAAGAGCAAGCCUAACUCAAGCCAUUGGCACACAGGCAUUAGACAGAAAGCUGGAAGUUGAAAUGGUGGAGUCCAACUUGCCUGGACCAGCUUAAUGGUUCUGCUCCUGGUAACGUUUUUAUCCAUGGAUGACUUGCUUGGGUAAGGACAUGAAGACAGUUCCUGUCAUACCUUUUAAAGGUAUGGAGAGUCGGCUUGACUACACUGUGUGGAGCAAGUUUUAAAGAAGCAAAGGACUCAGAAUUCAUGAUUGAAGAAAUGCAGGCAGACCUGUUAUCCUAAACUAGGGUUUUUAAUGACCACAACAAGCAAGCAUGCAGCUUACUGCUUGAAAGGGUCUUGCCUCACCCAAGCUAGAGUGCAGUGGCCUUUGAAGCUUACUACAGCCUCAAACUUCUGGGCUCAAGUGAUCCUCAGCCUCCCAGUGGUCUUUGUAGACUGCCUGAUGGAGUCUCAUGGCACAAGAAGAUUAAAACAGUGUCUCCAAUUUUAAUAAAUUUUUGCAAUCCA